This 441-nucleotide ribosomal RNA is filed under the name uncultured bacterium. RNAcentral's name for it is "partial 16S ribosomal RNA". It matches the Rfam family "Bacterial small subunit ribosomal RNA", at positions 338 to 795 of the family's 1533-position model. The record is from RNAcentral.
CCUACGGGGUGCAGCAGUGGGGGAUAUUGCACAAUGGGGGGAACCCUGAUGCAGCGACGCCGCGUGGGUGAAGGAGUGCUUCGGCAUGUAAAGCCCUAUCGGCAGGGAAGAAGCAAGACGGUGCCUGACUAGGAAGCCCCGGCUAACUACGUGCCAGCAGCCGCGGGAAUACGUAGGGGGCGAGAGUGAUCCGGAUGCACUGGGGGUAAAGGGAGCGUGGACGGCCAUGCAAGCCAGGGGUGGAAGCCCGGGGCCCAACGCCGGGACUGCGCUUGGAACUGUGCGGCUAGAGUGCGGGAGGGGCAGGCGGAAUUCCUGGUGUAGCGGUGAAAUGCGUAGAUAUCAGGAGGAACACCGGCGGCGAAGGCGGCCUGCUGGACCGCGACUGACGUUGAGGCUCGAAAGCGUGGGGAGCGAACAGGAUUAGAUACCCGAGUAGUC